UGGAGGUACUGGGGUCGUGUUGACUGCUAAGUGUUGAGAAACUUUACUGAUACAUCUCUUGGACUGUGAAUUUUAUAUAUUGUUCAGAAUUCUCUUUUGUUUGCAGUUUACUGCACAUGUAUUUUCACCUUUGAUUAAUCUGUCACAGAUUGGAUGUGUCAUAAAAUAGCUAAAUCCCAGCUGGGUGGUCCCAGCAUGGAGCAUUUACGCAGUUCUUCAGAAACAGAUGCAGCUCUUAGCAGAGACUACAAUGAAGGAGACUACAGAGUAGCAAGCAAGGCACAACAGUCUCCUUUCUGCCUCACCCAGUCUUUCCUCAGUGCUUCCUGGCAGCUCUUCUUGCUUUGUGACUCGAGUAUGAAGAGCACCUCCUUACUCCAGGCUGAGGACCAUGGAGUCUUACAAACUGCCUGUUCACCAACUGUUAUGAAGAGGGACAUUUGA
Molecule: long non-coding RNA, 444 nt
Filed under: Anser cygnoides (Swan goose)
Lineage: Eukaryota; Metazoa; Chordata; Aves; Anseriformes; Anatidae
Description: lncRNA (ENSACDG00005006530.1)
Source: RNAcentral